UAUACCCUGGUAGUCCACGCUGUAAACGAUGUCGACUUGGAGGUUGUUCCCUUGAGGAGUGGCUUCCGGAGCUAACGCGUUAAGUCGACCGCCUGGGGAGUACGGCCGCAAGGUUAAAACUCAAAUGAAUUGACGGGGGCCCGCACAAGCGGUGGAGCAUGUGGUUUAAUUCGAUGCAACGCGAAGAACCUUACCUACUCUUGACAUCCAGAGAACUUAGCAGAGAUGCUUUGGUGCCUUCGGGAACUCUGAGACAGGUGCUGCAUGGCUGUCGUCAGCUCGUGUUGUGAAAUGUUGGGUUAAGUCCCGCAACGAGCGCAACCCUUAUCCUUUGUUGCCAGCGGUUCGGCCGGGAACUCAAAGGAGACUGCCAGUGAUAAACUGGAGGAAGGUGGGGAUGACGUCAAGUCAUCAUGGCCCUUACGAGUAGGGCUACACACGUGCUACAAUGGCAUAUACAAAGAGAAGCGACCUCGCGAGAGCAAGCGGACCUCAUAAAGUAUGUCGUAGUCCGGAUUGGAGUCUGCAACUCGACUCCAUGAAGUCGGAAUCGCUAGUAAUCGUAGAUCAGAAUGCUACGGUGAAUACGUUCCCGGGCCUUGUACACACCGCCCGUCACACCAUGGGAGUGGGUUGCAAAAGAAGUAGGUAGCUUAACCUUCGUGACGGCGCU
RNAcentral lists this ribosomal RNA (673 nucleotides) under bacterium LB-39. Its description in RNAcentral is "bacterial SSU rRNA". It matches the Rfam family "Bacterial small subunit ribosomal RNA", at positions 781 to 1454 of the family's 1533-position model. The record is from RNAcentral.